Oncorhynchus nerka (sockeye salmon) is the source of this 74-nucleotide non-coding RNA. The record is from the annotation of a RefSeq genome assembly. Lineage: Eukaryota; Metazoa; Chordata; Actinopteri; Salmoniformes; Salmonidae.
UCCCAUAUGGUCUAGCGUUUAGGAUUCCUGGUUUUCACCCCCAGGUGGCCCGGGUUCAACUCCCGGUAUGGGAA